RNAcentral lists this unclassified non-coding RNA (775 nucleotides) under Hevea brasiliensis (rubber tree). Lineage: Eukaryota; Viridiplantae; Streptophyta; Magnoliopsida; Malpighiales; Euphorbiaceae. The record is from RNAcentral.
CAGGCUGCCCUAGCACUAAUGGAUCAAAGUGUUGCAAUUGAGGGGAAAGAGGAUAUACGGAAUGGCCUUGAGAUGGUGAAAUCUGCCUCUGAUAAGCAUAUCGAUCUUCUCAGGCCAUCUGCUCGAUACUAUUCAGUGUCUAGAGCUGAAGGCACUGUCGUAAUGGUAGGGCAAGCUUCAGAUGGUGCAGACCGUGAAAAGGGAAAGUAUAUCCUUCUAAGGGAUCCCGAGGACAUCCAAGUUGGGAUUUAUGACAAACCCCUCCCAUGCUUUGGCUGCGGUGUAGGAUGGUUUUCUUUUCUUUUAGGAUUUGUGUUCCCAUUGAUGUGGUACUAUGCCACAAUACUUUACUUUGGUAAUUAUUACCGAAAAGAUCCUAGGGAGCGAGCAGGCCUUGCUGCAGCUGCCAUUGCUGCAAUGGCGUGUUCUGUUGUGUUGUUGGUCAUAGUAGUUUGCUAUAUUCUCUUAUAGCCCAGCACUUCCUUGCGAGUGUGCUCUUAACAUGUAAAUGUCGAAACCAGACACUCAGUUGAAGAAAGUGCCAAUGCAAAUGUAGAUAUAAGAAAGUUCUGGUGGAAGAGCACAAAGAAUAUGCUAUUACAAGCUCAUUCUUCAACAAUUGCAGAUACCUACACUUCAGAAACGUAUACAAAAACUUGAAAUUUCUUUCAUUAUGUUAUGAUGUACCUAUGGUUUUGUGUGGUUAGGGACCAUUGUCAACUAGCAUAAUAUUUACACAAGUGUUUACGAAUUUACUGUAGAUGUUUGAGGCUUU